CCUACGGGAGGCAGCAGUAAGGAAUAUUGGACAAUGCCCGCAAGGGUGAUCCAGCCAUGCCGCGUGCAGGAAGAAGGCCCUAUGGGUCGUAAACUGCUUUUACACCGGAGAAAACCUCCCUUCGUGAAGGGAGCUGAUAGUAUGGUGAGAAUAAGCAUCGGCUAACUUCGUGCCAGCAGCCGCGGUAAGACGAAGGAUGCAAGCGUUAUCCGGAUUCAUUGGGUUUAAAGGGAGCGUAGGUGGACUGAUAAGUCAGUGGUGAAAUCUUCGAGCUUAACUCGGAAAUUGCCAUUGAUACUGUUAGUCUUGAGUACAGUUGCUGUGGGCGGAAUACGACAUGUAGUGGUGAAAUACAUAGAGAUGUCAUAGAACACCGAUUGCGAAGGCAGCUCACAAAGCUGUAACUGACACUGAGGCUCGAAAGUGCGGGGAUCAAACAGGAUUAGAUACCCUGGUAGUCCGCACUGUAAACGAUGAUUACUCGCUGCUAGAGGGCAACUUUUAGUGGCUUAGCGAAAGCGAUAAGUAAUCCACCUGGGGAGUACGCCGGCAACGGUGAAACUCAAAGGAAUUGACGGNGNGAGAGNGCGAGGACGACACGAGGGAGGAGG
This 611-nucleotide ribosomal RNA is filed under the name uncultured bacterium. RNAcentral's name for it is "bacterial SSU rRNA". It matches the Rfam family "Bacterial small subunit ribosomal RNA", at positions 338 to 951 of the family's 1533-position model. The record is from RNAcentral.